This 460-nucleotide ribosomal RNA is filed under the name uncultured bacterium. RNAcentral's name for it is "partial 16S ribosomal RNA". It matches the Rfam family "Bacterial small subunit ribosomal RNA", at positions 338 to 795 of the family's 1533-position model. The record is from RNAcentral.
CCUACGGGUGGCAGCAGUGAGGAAUAUUGGUCAAUGGUCGGGAGACUGAACCAGCCAAGCCGCGUGAGGGAGGAAGGUACAGAGUAUCGUAAACCUCUUUUGUCAGGGAACAAAGACUGGGACGCGUCCCCGGAUGAGUGUACCUGAAGAAAAAGCAUCGGCUAACUCCGUGCCAGCAGCCGCGGUAAUACGGAGGGUGCAAGCGUUAUCCGGAUUUACUGGGUGUAAAGGGAGCGUAGACGGCGCUGCAAGUCCGGAGUGAAAGCCCAUGGCUUAACCAUGGUACUGCUCUGGAAACUGUGGAGCUUGAGUGCGGGAGGGGCAGGCGGAAUUCCUAGUGUAGCGGUGAAAUGCGUAGAUAUUAGGAGGAACACCGGCGGCGAAGGCGGCCUGCUGGACCGUAACUGACGUUGAGGCUCGAAAGCGUGGGGAGCAAACAGGAUUAGAUACCCCAGUAGUC